Molecule: ribosomal RNA, 253 nt
Filed under: uncultured bacterium
Lineage: Bacteria
Description: partial 16S ribosomal RNA
Rfam family: Bacterial small subunit ribosomal RNA
Source: RNAcentral
UACGGAGGGUGCAAGCGUUAUCCGGAUUUAUUGGGUUUAAAGGGUGCGUAGGCGGUCUGAUAAGUCAGUGGUGAAAAUCUGCAGCUCAACUGUAGACCUGCCAUUGAAACUGUGAGACUUGAGUAACCAUGAGGUAGGCGGAAUGUGUAGUGUAGCGGUGAAAUGCUUAGAUAUUACACAGAACACCGAUUGCGUAGGCAGCUUACUAGCGGUUUACUGACGCUGAUGCACGAAAGCGUGGGGAUCAAACAGG